CAACGUUCUCAGGGCGGGGUGGAAGUCCCCACCGGCGGUAAGCGCGGUUCGCCGCGCGGAGCCCGCGAGCGCCUGCCGGCCUGCCGGCGGGGUCAGCAGACUUCGGUGCGAUUCCGAGGCCGACGGUCAUAGUCCGGAUGAAAGAGAACGGGA
Molecule: non-coding RNA, 153 nt
Filed under: bacterium YEK0313
Lineage: Bacteria
Description: FMN riboswitch aptamer (RFN element)
Rfam family: FMN riboswitch aptamer (RFN element)
About the family: The RFN element is a highly conserved domain that is found frequently in the 5'-untranslated regions of prokaryotic mRNAs that encode for flavin mononucleotide (FMN) biosynthesis and transport proteins.
Source: Rfam by way of RNAcentral